CAGUCGCCGCGGUAACACAGAGGGUGCGAGCGUUAAUCGGAUUUACUGGGCGUAAAGCGUGCGUAGGCGGCUUUUUAAGUCGGAUGUGAAAUCCCUGAGCUUAACUUAGGAAUUGCAUUCGAUACUGGGAAGCUAGAGUAUGGGAGAGGAUGGUAGAAUUCCAGGUGUAGCGGUGAAAUGCGUAGAGAUCUGGAGGAAUACCGAUGGCGAAGGCAGCCAUCUGGCCUAAUACUGACGCUGAGGUACGAAAGCAUGGGGAGCAAACAGGAUUAGAUACCCGCGUAGUCCCUGUCUCUUAUAC
This 301-nucleotide ribosomal RNA is filed under the name uncultured bacterium. RNAcentral's name for it is "partial 16S ribosomal RNA". It matches the Rfam family "Bacterial small subunit ribosomal RNA", at positions 509 to 807 of the family's 1533-position model. The record is from RNAcentral.